AGUGAACGCUGGCGGUAGGCCUAACACAUGCAAGUCGAACGGCAGCACAGUAAGAGCUUGCUCUUACGGGUGGCGAGUGGCGGACGGGUGAGGAAUACAUCGGAAUCUACUUUUUCGUGGGGGAUAACGUAGGGAAACUUACGCUAAUACCGCAUACGACCUACGGGUGAAAGCAGGGGAUCUUCGGACCUUGCGCGAUUGAAUGAGCCGAUGUCGGAUUAGCUAGUUGGCGGGGUAAAGGCCCACCAAGGCGACGAUCCGUAGCUGGUCUGAGAGGAUGAUCAGCCACACUGGAACUGAGACACGGUCCAGACUCCUACGGGAGGAAGCAGUGGGGAAUAUUGGACAAGGGGCGCAAGCCUGAUCCAGCCAUACCGCGUGGGUGAAGAAGGCCUUCGGGUUGUAAAGCCCUUUUGUUGGGAAAGAAAAGCAGCAGGUUAAUACCCCGCUGUUCCGACGGUACCCAAAGAAUAAGCACCGGCUAACUUCGUG
Molecule: ribosomal RNA, 492 nt
Filed under: uncultured bacterium
Lineage: Bacteria
Description: partial 16S ribosomal RNA
Rfam family: Bacterial small subunit ribosomal RNA
Source: RNAcentral